UGUGACUUUGAGGCGGAGCUAAAGUUACCAGAGCCGCCAGGAGAGCAGAGUGUCUGCGGGCCAUUGACAUCACGCCUGCUGGGGAAGCCGGCCUCCUGGACAAGACCGCACAGCAAGCAAGAAGACCAGAAGAUGAAGACUAUAUUAUGCCCAGUUGCAGCACUCACAGCUUGUGUCAAAAACAAGACCAGCCUGGCAAUGCUGUUGGUAGGUGAUGCCAUUCAAACAAUGCCAGAAAGCAUUCUUGUUUCCUGCGACAGGGUAGAGUCCA
Molecule: long non-coding RNA, 271 nt
Organism: Hyla sarda
Lineage: Eukaryota; Metazoa; Chordata; Amphibia; Anura; Hylidae
Exons: 3
Source: RefSeq, a predicted model, not a curated record